GAUGAACGCUGGCGGCGUGCCUAAUACAUGCAAGUCGAGCGAACGGACGAGAAGCUUGCUUCUCUGAUGUUAGCGGCGGACGGGUGAGUAACACGUGGAUAACCUACCUAUAAGACUGGGAUAACUUCGGGAAACCGGAGCUAAUACCGGAUAAUAUUUUGAACCGCAUGGUUCAAAAGGGAAAGGCGGUCUUGCUGUCACUUAUAGAUGGAUCCGCGCUGCAUUAGCUAGUUGGUAAGGUAACGGCUUACCAAGGCAACGAUGCAUAGCCGACCUGGGAGGGUGAUCGGCCACACUGGAACUGAGACACGGUCCAGACUCCUACGGGAGGGAGAAGUAGGGAAUCUUCCGCAAAGGGCGAAAGCCUGACGGAGCAACGCCGCGUGAGUGAUGAAGGUCUUCGGAUCGUAAAACUCUGUUAUUAGGGAAGAACAUAUGUGUAAGUAACUGUGAACAUCUUGACGGUACCGAAUCAGAAAGCCACGGCUAACUACGUG
Molecule: ribosomal RNA, 497 nt
Filed under: uncultured bacterium
Lineage: Bacteria
Description: partial 16S ribosomal RNA
Rfam family: Bacterial small subunit ribosomal RNA
Source: RNAcentral